RNAcentral lists this ribosomal RNA (496 nucleotides) under uncultured bacterium. RNAcentral's name for it is "partial 16S ribosomal RNA". It matches the Rfam family "Bacterial small subunit ribosomal RNA", at positions 29 to 507 of the family's 1533-position model. The record is from RNAcentral.
AUGAACGCUGGCGGCGUGCCUAAUACAUGCAAGUCGAGCGAACGGACGAGAAGCUUGCUUCUCUGAUGUUAGCGGCGGACGGGUGAGUAACACGUGGAUAACCUACCUAUAAGACUGGGAUAACUUCGGGAAACCGGAGCUAAUACCGGAUGAUAUUUUGAACCGCAUGGUUCAAAAGUGAAAGACGGUCUUGCUGUCACUUAUUGAUGGAUCCGCGCUGCAUUAGCUAGUUGGUAAGGUAACGGCUUACCAAGGCAACGAUGCAUAGCCGACCUGAGAGGGUGAUCGGCCACACUGGAACUGAGACACGGUCCAGACUCCUACGGGAGGCAGCAGUAGGGAAUCUUCCGCAAUGGGCGAAAGCCUGACGGAGCAACGCCGCGUGAGUGAUGAAGGUCUUCGGAUCGUAAAACUCUGUUAUUAGGGAAGAACAUAUGUGUAAGUAACUGUGCACAUCUUGACGGUACCUAAUCAGAAAGCUACGGCUAACUACGUG